RNAcentral lists this non-coding RNA (31 nucleotides) under Mus musculus (house mouse). Lineage: Eukaryota; Metazoa; Chordata; Mammalia; Rodentia; Muridae. The record is from RNAcentral.
UAGAAAUACAUGCAGGCACCCACCUGUUUGU